Molecule: non-coding RNA, 474 nt
Organism: Microtus ochrogaster (prairie vole)
Lineage: Eukaryota; Metazoa; Chordata; Mammalia; Rodentia; Cricetidae
Source: the annotation of a RefSeq genome assembly
AUGAGGGCCCCAACUCAACUCCUGGGGUUACUGCUGCUCUGGCUUACAGGUGCAAAAUGUGACAUCCAGAUGACCCAGUCUCCAGCCUCCCUGUUUCCAUGCCUGGGAGACAGUGUCACCAUCACAUGCAGGGCAAGUCAGAAUAUUUAUAGUGUUUUGGCAUGGUAUCAGCAGAAACCAGGGAACCCUCCUAAGCUCCUGAUCUAUGGUGCUAACGGUUUGGCAGAUGGGGUCCCAUCAAGGUUCAGUAGCAGUGGAUCUGGGACACAGUUUUCUCUCAAGAUCAGUGGCCUGAAGUCUGAAGAUGUUGCAACUUAUUACUGUCAACAGCAUAGGAGUUACCCACCCACAGUGAUUCAAGUCAUGACAAAAAUCACCCAGAAAAACAGAAGUGAGAGCCCAGGCUUACCAAUGUGUUCCUUCUUGUUUCUGCAGCUGUUGAUUCUGUUUAUUAAGUUUUUAAGAUCAAUGUGA